This 497-nucleotide ribosomal RNA is filed under the name uncultured bacterium. RNAcentral's name for it is "partial 16S ribosomal RNA". It matches the Rfam family "Bacterial small subunit ribosomal RNA", at positions 28 to 507 of the family's 1533-position model. The record is from RNAcentral.
GAUGAACGCUGGCGGAGUGCCUAAUGCAUGCAAGUCGAGCGAACGGACGAGAAGCUUACUUUUCUGAUGUUAGCGGCGGACGGGUGAGUAACACGUGGAUAACCUACCUAUAAGACUGGGAUAACUUCGGGAAACCGGAGCUAAUACCGGAUAAUAUUUUGAACCGCAUGGUUCAAAAGUGAAAGACGGUCUUGCUGUCACUUAUAGAUGGAUCCGCGCUGCAUUAGCUAGUUGGUAAGGUAACGGCUUACCAAGGCAACGACGCAUAGCCGACCUGAGAGGGUGAUCGGCCACACUGGAACUGAGACACGGUCCAGACUCCUACGGGAGGCAGCAGUAGGGAAUCUUCCGCAAUGGGCGAAAGCCUGACGGAGCAACGCCGCGUGAGUGAUGAAGGUCUUCGGAUCGUAAAACUCUGUUAUUAGGGAAGAACAUAUGUGUAAGUAACUGUGCACAUCUUGACGGUACCUAAUCAGAAAGCCACGGCUAACUACGUG